UAGGGAAUCUUCCGCAAUGGGCGAAAGCCUGACGGAGCAACGCCGCGUGAGUGAUGAAGGUCUUCGGAUCGUAAAACUCUGUUAUUAGGGAAGAACAAAUGUGUAAGUAACUAUGCACGUCUUGACGGUACCUAAUCAGAAAGCCACGGUUAACUACGUGCCAGCAGCCGCGGUAAUACGUAGGUGGCAAGCGUUAUCCGGAAUUAUUGGGCGUAAAGCGCGCGUAGGCGGUUUUUUAAGUCUGAUGUGAAAGCCCACGGCUCAACCGUGGAGGGUCAUUGGAAACUGGAAAACUUGAGUGCAGAAGAGGAAAGUGGAAUUCCAUGUGUAGCGGUGAAAUGCGCAGAGAUAUGGAGGAACACCAGUGGCGAAGGCGACUUUCUGGUCUGUAACUGACGCUGAUGUGCGAAAGCGUGGGGAUCAAACAGG
Molecule: ribosomal RNA, 429 nt
Filed under: Actinomycetes bacterium
Lineage: Bacteria; Bacillati; Actinomycetota; Actinomycetes
Description: Actinobacteria bacterium partial 16S ribosomal RNA
Rfam family: Bacterial small subunit ribosomal RNA
Source: RNAcentral